UUGUACCGAAUUCUAUUCAAUUCAUUAGAAUUCUUACUUUGAGACUUGAUUCUAUCGGUUUCGUCCCUAGAAUCUAUUUUCCCGUUACAGGGAGGUGACUGGUUAUCUGAGGGAAUGGUUCUUCUUGAUGGGUGGAAAAAUUCACACUACUGCUUGGAAGCAGCUGCUAUACCUGUUUCGGAGGAAGUUGGAGGAAAGGCUUGUCUAUGUUUUGUUUGUGGUUGAUGCCAAGGAUUUGAUUUUAAUUCUUUGUUUCAUUUCAAGCUUCCAUGAUUAAAGUUACACUAUAGACCAUCUGGUACCAUUCUUGCUUUUGAUUGUUUGCUCUAAAUCUCCAGGCCUCUUCCUUUGUAUGAUUGCCGCUUAACUGGUGCAAGUAUUCAGGUAUUUGGCAUGCAUCGUUAUGCAGUUGCAGAAUUUAGGGUGUCCCCCCCCUCCGCCCCUCUUUUUGCAACCAUGGUUGAUCCUUAUUUUGAUAGUUUGAAGGAUGCAGAUGCAGUGGUACCUAGAUUUUAAGCUUGGAAUAAACUUGACCCUGCUGGAGCAUCACUCGACACUAGCCAAUUGCAAAGCACAAAUUAAAUUUGAUUUUGGUUAUUAUAAUUUGUUCAUACAUUUGGUUUUUCCUUUUAUAUGGCUUUGAAAUGUACAUUGUUGUUUGACCUCUUAAUUAAAUGUAUCUUUAGAGUGCUGAAUCAAUAUCAUUGAUGCUAAUGAAGAGGUUUUUAAAUCA
This is a long non-coding RNA of Trifolium pratense (red clover), 733 nucleotides long. RefSeq lists it as uncharacterized. The record is from RefSeq and is a predicted model, not a curated record. The transcript is spliced from 6 exons. NCBI's taxonomy places the organism in Eukaryota, Viridiplantae, Streptophyta, Magnoliopsida, Fabales, Fabaceae.